CAACAAUUCAGUUCUUUGUGUGUUCAGUGGGGAGCAGUGGCAUCUGUACACACCAGUGCACAAACACAUGCAGGGUCAGUUUGUUGUGUGUAUGUACUAUGAGUGCAGUGAUUCGUUUAUAGAGGUCACGCCACAUCCGCACUGUGGUUUAAUCACUGAGUUGUGACAAUUCCCAGUAAAUAACUCCUCUGUCCCCCUCUGUUUUACACCUCUCUGUGCAUAGAGAUUAGCCUGAGAAUCAAAUGACUGAAUAUCCGUCUAUUGAGCUCAGACUCGUGAAAACACAUGGCUAGUGUUAAGUGGGGCCACAUCAGAAAAAAUGGCACCCAUCAAUUGUACCCAUCUCUUUAGGCUGGGAAAUGCAGGAGGAUUACUGGACCAGUUAAUGUCAGGUUUGUCCAUGCCAGCAAUAAUCUUGAUUGGACUCCAUAAUGAUUAUCUGCAAAGAAUAUGUAGUGUUCAGGGUUUACAGUUCCUGCAUUAACCCGAACAAAUGACUUGCCCACUGAGGUUUGCUGUUGGCAAAGUCUCCCUAUCUCUCCAGGAUGAUUAUGUUGGCAGAUGGAGCAACAUGACAAGGGCACAGGAGCCAAUCCAUUCCCACCUUGUCAUCUGCAGGCAUUUCGAUCUGCCACAGUGCUCUUCCAUCUCGAUUAGGGGUGGCCUGCUGGCGGGAGACGAGUCAGUGUGUGUGUUAUGUGCAUGUAUGUGUGUGUCUGUAUGUGUGUGUAUGUGUGUGUGUUGGGGAAGUGCGGGCAUGUGUUCUAAGGCUGGACUAGCCUGUACUGCAACCUCCCCCCUCUUCCUCCUCCCUGUCAUCCUCCUGUCAAAGCCAAAGCCAUUGUCAUGGUGA
Molecule: long non-coding RNA, 853 nt
Filed under: Dicentrarchus labrax (European seabass)
Lineage: Eukaryota; Metazoa; Chordata; Actinopteri; Moronidae
Description: lncRNA (ENSDLAG00005029182.1)
Source: RNAcentral